Labrus bergylta (ballan wrasse) is the source of this 336-nucleotide non-coding RNA. Lineage: Eukaryota; Metazoa; Chordata; Actinopteri; Labriformes; Labridae. The record is from RefSeq and is a predicted model, not a curated record.
CCCCCUCUGACCGUCCGCGUGCUGAGUACAGACAGCGAGUUCAUUGUGAUGAGGAGAGGCUCGCGGCCGGUCUAACGGUUAACGGUUAACGGUUAACGGUUAACGCGCUAACCAGCUAACCAGCUGACCAGCUGACCAGCUAACCAGCUCAUUAAACCGGAAGUGGAGGAGCUUCUGUCGGCAGCCGGUGUUUCUUCAGGUUGAUUGACAGCUAAGUGGCCCUAUGAUGGAAGAGCUUCACGACGUCCAGCUGACUGAGAUCAAACCACUCCUAACUGGACAGAAUGGGAGGAAUCUGCAGGACUUUGACUGUCAGGUGAGUUCAGCACAAACAGA